CCUACGGGAGGCAGCAGUGGGGAAUAUUGGACAAUGGGCGAAAGCCUGAUCCAGCAAUUCCGCGUGUGUGAAGAAGGCCUUCGGGUUGUAAAGCACUUUAGUGGGGGAAGAAACAGCUUGGCCACACCAAGCCUUGACGGUACCCCAAGAAUAAGCACCGGCUAACUCUGUGCCAGCAGCCGCGGUAAUACAGAGGGUGCAAGCGUUAAUCGGAUUUACUGGGCGUAAAGGGUGCGUAGGUGGCUAUUUAAGUCGGAUGUGAAAGCCCGGGGCUCAACCUCGGAAUUGCAUUCGAUACUGAGUGGCUAGAGUUCGGUAGAGGGCGGCGGAAUUUCCGGUGUAGCGGUGAAAUGCGUAGAUAUCGGAAGGAACAUCAAUGGCGAAGGCAGCCGCCUGGGCCUGGACUGACACUGAGGCACGAAAGCGUGGGUAGCAAACAGGAUUAGAUACCCUGGUAGUCCACGCCGUAAACGAUGAGAACUUGACGUUGGUUCGUUUUACGAAUCGGUGUCGCNGCUACGCGAUAAGUUCUCCGUCCGUCGGGAGGUACGGCCGCGAGGUUAGUAACGUACGAAGGAAGUAGACGGCGUGAGACGUGCCGACGGACGACGACGAGGGAGGUAGG
Molecule: ribosomal RNA, 625 nt
Filed under: uncultured bacterium
Lineage: Bacteria
Description: bacterial SSU rRNA
Rfam family: Bacterial small subunit ribosomal RNA (bases 1-537)
Source: RNAcentral